GGAACGAACGCUGGCGGCAUGCCUAAUACAUGCAAGUCGAACGAGAUCUUCGGAUCUAGUGGCGCACGGGUGCGUAACGCGUGGGAAUCUACCCUUGGGUUCGGAAUAACAGUUGGAAACGACUGCUAAUACCGGAUGAUGACGAAAGUCCAAAGAUUUAUCGCCCAGGGAUGAGCCCGCGUAGGAUUAGCUAGUUGGUGAGGUAAAGGCUCACCAAGGCACGAUCU
RNAcentral lists this ribosomal RNA (227 nucleotides) under uncultured soil bacterium. RNAcentral's name for it is "partial 16S ribosomal RNA". It matches the Rfam family "Bacterial small subunit ribosomal RNA", at positions 27 to 282 of the family's 1533-position model. The record is from RNAcentral.